UGGUGUGUGGCUGCUGUUGUUAGGAACCCAGGGGUGGGACCUGGAGUAGUAGGUGGGCCUGGGUCCCCUCCCUUCCCAUAGACCACUGGGGAAUGAGGCUUGCAAUUAAACUGUGAUUGACACCCCUUCCCCCCCAGAAGAGGAACAGAACUGCUAAGAGGCCUAGCUGGGGCCAGAAGAGACCCAGUGGGUUAAAAUGAUUCCCUCCAGGGAGGGAGGACUUCCUUGGGGUCUGGCCUGAUGCUAUUUGAAACCUGCAGACACACUUGACCAGGGGGUGCUCAUGAGAGAUUUUUCUUUCCUUACAGCCAAUGGGAAAGCUAUAAACAAGGGAAUAUUGCAGCAGGACCCCUGUGGAGAGUUGGCUGGAUGUGACCUAGUGAGCAUCGUAUGAGUGCAAGGCAGCAAAAACCCCACCAACAUCCCCAGCAGCUGUAGACAGUAGACUACCCCGAACAUGAGAAGUAGGGCAUGGUUCUCAGAGGCUGCUGGUGCUGGGUCCUAUGUCAGACCCCGCUCACACCACUGCUGGAAGCAAAAACUGUGCUGAAGGGCUACAGACGGUAUUAGCAGAGUGGCAGGAGCUGUACUAAAGACAGCAUCAGAUCAGUGUCUGGCCAAGUCACCCCUUGGAAAAGAACAUACUGACUUUGGGGAAGCUUGGUGACCUGAUGGGAAAAUGGGACAAUAAGUGUGGGGGGGAGGGGUGAUGAUGAUUAAAUACUACUGCAGUCCUGUCUAAAAGAAUUGCUCCGUUCUCUGGCUUCCGUGCCACUCUCUUUCCCCUGACCCCCCUCCCCCCAAAUAAAUCCUGUGGUGGUCGAAGUCACCCUGGCCCACCAGGCAGUCACUGGUGAUGCUGGGAAUUUUUCCACACAAAAAACUCUGCGGAAAACUGUUUUUGUUCUUUCUGUUUGACACAUUUUUAAGUGGACACUCUGACAAAAAGGCAACUUUUUCAAACAAGCAAUGUUCUGUGUGAAAUGUCUUGAUGGGGAAAUGGGAGUGAGCUUUGAAAUGCUGCAAGCUGAGGAGCUUGCAGUAGCUAUGGCUGUUUUAACAGGGGAUGGCUUUAAUUAUGUUAAUGAUUAAUAAGAUCAGUACAGUAUCCCUUGUGCUGUUGCAUUUUACUGUUUUUAUGCUGUUUCUCAAUUUUUUAAUUGUGAUUGUCCAGCACAGUUGAGUACUAAAAAUGCAAAUGAAAAUUGGGGAAUUUUCUCACUUGUUCCCACUUGUAAGAUAAAAACACUGGCUGUUAAAAUGCUCAGCAAUGAAAUAGUUAAUGUAGACAUUCUCAAUUUGGUGCAGAAUUAAAACUUCUGUUAAGAUGCA
Molecule: long non-coding RNA, 1332 nt
Organism: Mauremys reevesii (Reeves's turtle)
Lineage: Eukaryota; Metazoa; Chordata; Testudines; Geoemydidae
Exons: 2
Source: RefSeq, a predicted model, not a curated record